UUGCUCAGAGCACAUAUACUAAAAUUGGAACUAUAUAGAGAAUAGCAUGGCCCUGUGCAAGGAUGACAUGCAAAUAUAUUAUUAUAGUUAA
Molecule: small nuclear RNA, 91 nt
Filed under: Sorex araneus (European shrew)
Lineage: Eukaryota; Metazoa; Chordata; Mammalia; Eulipotyphla; Soricidae
Source: RNAcentral